Molecule: ribosomal RNA, 467 nt
Filed under: uncultured bacterium
Lineage: Bacteria
Description: partial 16S ribosomal RNA
Rfam family: Bacterial small subunit ribosomal RNA
Source: RNAcentral
GACGAACGCUGGCGGCGUGCUUAACACAUGCAAGUCGAACGGAAAGGCCUCUUUCGUGGGGUUCUCGCGUGGCGAACGGGUGAGUAACACGUGAGUAACCUGCCCUUGACUUUGGGAUAACUUCCGUCAACUGGGGCUAAUACCGGAUAGGAGCUCCUGCUGCAUGGUUGGGGUUGGAAAGUUUCGGCGGUUGGGGAUGGACUCGCGGCUUAUCCGCUUGUUGGUGGGGUAGUGGCUUACCAAGGCGUUGACGGGUAGCCGGACAGAGAGGGUGACAGGCGACAUUGGGACUGAGAGAAGGCACAAGCACCGACGGGAGGGAGAAGGGGGGAAGAUUGAAGAAGGGGUGGAGGGCGAAUGAAGAAAGGCCGUGGGCGGGAUGACGGUGUUAGGGUUGAAAACCGCAUGCGCUAAUGACGAAGCUUUGUGUGACGGUAGUGGGUAAAGAAGCAACGGCUAACUACGUG